Molecule: long non-coding RNA, 2047 nt
Filed under: Homo sapiens (human)
Lineage: Eukaryota; Metazoa; Chordata; Mammalia; Primates; Hominidae
Description: non-protein coding LINC02568:20
Source: RNAcentral
GGGUGCUCAUCACAGAUGGAACAAUGGCGAGAGCACACCUGGACAGGGGAGGGGCAGGAGUUCUGAUUCCUGACACAGGUUUCCUGGUUGAAUGUUCUGUUGUAGAAGAAUGCAACUGAGUUUUCUAAACAGAUCUUCUUCUUGACAUCCUUGCUGAACGAGAGCAAAGGAGACAGCUGGGAGCAGAUGGGCAAAUCCCAGUUUGCCCAAAGAAAUGUCUAUUUUCCAAGGGGCAUGAAGAAUUUAGGAAUAAAGCAGAUCUGAUUUCUAAUUCUGACUUUGCUACUGGCAAAUUGUGUGGACUCAGGAAAGUGACCGGCCCUCUUUAAGACUCAGUGUGCUUACCUCUGAAAUGGAGCUGUCAAUCACAUCUGCCUCACAGGCUUGUUCUGAGGAUGAAGUGAGAAAAUGCCCACGAGGUGCUGGUUGCAGCAGCUGGUGCAUAGAGCUUAAAAAGGAUGCAGUCCCAAAACAUAGAAGGAUUUACUCCAGAUCCAAGCAAUGAGUCAGGAACAGAAAGCCUGAUGCCCUCACCUGGAACUCUCCCUCCUCCCUGGAUGAGGACCUUCCCCAGAAUUGCAGGGCACCCACACAAGACCAAGCAAGUUCAGAGAAAAUUGAAACCUGACUUUAGAGCCUCUGGGAUGUUCACUACACCUCAUUGAACCUGUUUGGUUCACAGUAGAGCUCCAACUACCGUCUACUUCCUGCAACUGGCCUGCUGCCAACUCCCCAGAUCUCUUGUGGAGCUGCCGGAAGAGACAGCCUGCCACAGAAGAAAGCAGCCCUCCUCUUUCAUGGCCUCCCACAUCUUGAAACAAACACAAGCAAACAAAACAAAAGCUUGAGUCCCAGCCUGAUUCACCAGGUUUGGUUCCCAAUUGUUGAAAUUCCCUUCCCAGGGCUCUCAGAACCAGGGUUGGCUGGAGGGGUGAAAGAGGCUGGCCCUGAGCCCAGUAAUAGGACACCAAGGGGGAGCUAAAAGCUGGGAUCUGGGGUGAAGAUGGGGUCUUCCAAGCUGGGAGGCAGACACCAGGCCAGAGCAACCGGCCUGCCCCAGCUCAGGCCUCUUAACCCAUGCAGGGCAAGAGUAUAAACAGAGGCCACGGACCACAUGCCUCAGUAUUUAAACUUAUAAAUCAAGCUAACAUAACAUGAAAUCAAAUAUGUUCUAUCCUCCUAGCUUGACAAAUACUUUCAUAACGAGAUGGAAUGCCAGGUUCAGAUUUAGAAUUUUCACACUCCUUAAAGUUCCAAGUCAAAAUACAGCAUUAGGGGAGGGCCCCCAACCUCGAGGUCUCCCCUCCCCCAUUUUCUUUCACUCCCAGCUCUGUCUCACACCACGAGGGAUCUUGGGUGAAUGCCCCUCGAUACCCCAGCCCCCCACAAACAGCUGCCCUUUCCCCCCUUGGCCAAGGGUAAGCACAGCAGCAGGGCAGUCUGCCCUUGGCUGGAGAGAUGGAAGGAGAGGCCACACGGGCCCUGAAAAUGCAUUUGGGGACUCUUGGGCAGGAAACUUGGGAGUUUCUGGAGCCUCAAGGAGGGUCUAGUGGGACAGAGCCACUUGGGCCCAUGAGAUCCUUGACCCAUGGAGAAGGGUAGGGCUAGAGGAGGGCCAGGGCAGGCCCUAUGAACAGAAGAACCUAGAGUAACUGCCCUGUCCCCAGAUCCUGUCACCGAGCAGGUAUACUUGGGAGGGUAUUGGAGGGUGGAACCCAAGGGAGCUUGCCCAAGGCACUAGGAAAGAAAAGUGUAAACCUUGUUAGAGAAUGCUAAGGAUAGCUGUUAAAGCCUCAGAGAUUUUACUCAUUUUUGGCUGUUUCUAAAAAUCUUCCCCCAAAGGAAGAUCUUGCUCUCAUUGAGGAUCUGAGAAAGAAUUCUCUCCAAGUAGUUUCAAAACAUUCUGAUGUAAAAACUCUGGUGUGUUAGUCAAAAAUAAAUUUUGUUGCUUGAUGGCUUCACCAUUCACAAAAUAUUCUAUCCAUCCAAUUUAAAAAUAAGAGCAGGGUAUUUAAAACUCUUUCAAUAAACACAAAUUAAAACAAUG